This 77-nucleotide transfer RNA is filed under the name Myxococcales bacterium. RNAcentral's name for it is "tRNA-Arg". It matches the Rfam family "tRNA". Rfam says of the family: Transfer RNA (tRNA) molecules are approximately 80 nucleotides in length. The record is from RNAcentral. Lineage: Bacteria; Pseudomonadati; Myxococcota; Myxococcia; Myxococcales.
GCCCCCGUAGCUCAGGUGGAUAGAGCACCGGUUUCCUAAACCGGGAGUCGCACGUUCGAGUCGUGCCGGGGGCACCC